AUGCCCGUGUCGGGGGAGGAACCUGUCCGGUGUCUGUGGCCGUUUGCGGGCGCCGAGCCCGGGCUGCCGGAGGCGGCGAGGCCCCCGCCGCUGGCUGGUGCGGUGUCGAGCGCCGGCGAGUUCAGGUACAGCGGGUAGUGAUCUGUCUUCUGCGAUACCAAUUUCACCAAUUUUUGAAUGGCUUCAGGAUUCGGCGAGCCCCGAAAUAAAAUAUUGAACUGGC
Molecule: long non-coding RNA, 223 nt
Organism: Leucoraja erinaceus (little skate)
Lineage: Eukaryota; Metazoa; Chordata; Chondrichthyes; Rajiformes; Rajidae
Exons: 2
Source: RefSeq, a predicted model, not a curated record